GAAAGCAGUUUUGCUAUCAAGUAAAAUAAUGGAAAAUUUUACAUUAUUGUUGAACAAUGCAAACGAAAUAGAUUGCUGCAUAAUAUCUACAGAUCAUGCUGGUCUACAAUAAAAUUUAGGACAAAGAUAUUUUUGCACAAUAUAUAAAUGAUCUCCAUAAAGAUAUUCCUGGAGGAUUCAUUACUUCUAUUAGGAAAAAGAAUAUAAAAAAAGGUAAGGGUAGGACAAGUCUACCUAACAGUUGGCGUAUGAGGGCUUGCAAUCAUAGGAAGUAAGACCUAAAUCUAAAUAAACCCUGACAUUACUCCCAAUGAAAUCAAAGUUAAUUUAAAAUUCAAUUUACCUCGGGAACAUAAAGACCUUAAACUUGUGAGAGGAAGGUUUGCGCCUAUUUUUUUCUAAGCCAACAAAAAUUAGAAUGAAUUCUACUAUUAGACGUAAGGGUUAGGCGGUAAGCUGCUGGGCUAAUAACAUCUUGAAUUGGAAAAUAUCCAAAAUAUCAUUUGGUUAAUUUGGAAUGUAUUCUGUGGAAAUAGAAUUUUUCCUGAAGGGUUAUAGUUUGACCAUGACUAGAUCUCCUAUUGAGAACAACAAUUCUAGUCUAUUACAAUCUGCCAUUAAUUUCAUGUGAUUUUGAGCUUGAGACAUAUUCUGACAAAGGUGCUGUAAAAGGGUAUCACGGUUUGUUAAUAAGGUGUCUACAAUGAAAAUGUCAGAAGUAUUGCAAAGAUAUGAGGGAAUUAAUGGGGUAAUCAACCAUAUAGAACCAGAGAAGAGGACAUUUGAAUAGUAGUAUGAAAUGAAGUGUUAUAAAAAAGUUCAGCCCAACAAAGAAAUGUUGACCAUAAUCGGGAUGUAAAUGAGUUAAUAGACCAACAAAAUGCAAGGUAUAGGUUUUUAUUCCUUGGCAUGUAAGACAAUUAUUAACGAAAUAAAUGAUGUCUUUAUGGAAUCCAAGCCAAUAAAAAUUUGUAAAGAUUCAUUUAAUGGUUUUGAGAAUACCCUGGUGGCUAACAAGAGGAGUGGAAUAAAAUUAAGUAAGAAUUUGAUUUUUUUAGAAAAGAAGACUUACUGAUGUAGAUUCAACCUUUAACAUAAAGAAUAUUGUCUCGAAUUUGGUAAUCUGAAGAAGAGAUUUCACCUUUUGAUAGUUGGGAAGUAAUUUGAAGGAUAUCGGAAGAUGUAAGGGCUUCCUUCUUUAAAUCAUUGAUUAAUGAAUUAAAAAAAAAAAGAAGAAGAAAUUAGUUAGUGUGGAGAGUGAAAAUAAGGCAGAUCGAAAAGGAACUCUAUCUUCGGGUAAUCACGAUAAGGAAUCAACAACUAUAUUUGAUUUACCUUGUUUAUACUCAAUGGAGAAAUUAAAACCUAAGAGUUUGUGAAGAUAAUAUUGUUUGUUUGGUGUUUGAAGGAUUUGUGUUUGAAGGUCAUGGAAGUUUUUAUGAUAUGUGCGAAGAAUGAACUCAGUGCCUAAUACGUAUUGACGCAUUUGCAAACAGCCUUAGUGAUGGCAUAUAAUUCUUUCAAGUAGAAGAGUGGGAUAGGCAAGUGUUUAUUUUUUUGCAAAAAAAGAUAUAGGAUGAUUGUUUUUUAGCAAAACAGCAUCAAUACCAGUGAUUCAAGCAUCAGUUUCAUUAACAAAUUGUUUUGAAAAAACUGGUAAAGAUAACACAGGGGCUAUGGUCAUGGCUUGCUUGAGGUUGUUAAAGACAGUAGAAGCAGAAUCGUUCCAUUUAAAAGAGUCUUUCUUGAGUAAACAUGUUAAAGGGGAUGCAAUAGAAGCAUAAUUUGAGAUGAAGUGGCAAUAAUAGCCCGUUAAACCCGAAAAAGGAGAGAAACUAUUUUAAAGAUGAAAGAGUUAGUCAACCAUUGGACACUUUCAAAAUAUCUAAUAAGACCAAGAUAUUCGAAGGAGAAUUGACAAAAGUUACAUUUAUUUAAUUUAAUAAAUAGCUUGUUUGUAGUUAAACAUUGAAAAACAAGGAGGAUGCGAUCAACAUGAAGUACUAGAGUAGGACUAUAGAUGUAAUAACCGGUUCUUCCGGCCGGUUCAACCGAACCGGCCGGCCCGCUUUUAUAAUUCCGCGAACAGACAAAUCGCGGAACAGGCAGUUCGCGCGAACAGAAAGGGCGGACGGUCGGGCUUCACGCGAGAGCGAGAGUGUUAUUUUGGGAGAAAUUGAAGAACAAGAGAAACGGACGAGAAGGAUUAAGAGAAGAAGGUUAGGGAAGAGAUUGUAGCGAAGAAAAAGGAAAUUGGGAGAGAAAGGAAAUUUCGAGAAGAAGGAUUUUGAUAGUUUUGAGAAGUCUCCAUUCAAAAGUGUAAGUGAAUUCCUUCCAAUUUCAGUUUUAAUGAUAUUUAGAAUUUAAAUCAAAAUAUUAUAUUGAUAGAAGUUAUUGUUUGAAAUUAGGGUUUUUGAAAGUGAAAGAUUCAAGUCAUAAGUGUU
This is a long non-coding RNA of Dendrobium catenatum, 2444 nucleotides long. RefSeq lists it as uncharacterized. The record is from RefSeq and is a predicted model, not a curated record. Lineage: Eukaryota; Viridiplantae; Streptophyta; Magnoliopsida; Asparagales; Orchidaceae. The transcript has 3 exons.